Long non-coding RNA from Fundulus heteroclitus (mummichog), 1534 nucleotides. RefSeq lists it as uncharacterized. The record is from RefSeq and is a predicted model, not a curated record. The transcript is spliced from 3 exons. NCBI's taxonomy places the organism in Eukaryota, Metazoa, Chordata, Actinopteri, Cyprinodontiformes, Fundulidae.
GGAAGGCGGAAAAAAGAGGUAGUCAUAUCUCAACUUAGAAUUGGACACACUGGACUUAAUAGAUCUCUUUUCAGAAUAGGGAAACAUGAAACAGGGACUUGUAAUUACUGUAAUCAUAUGGAAACAGUGGAACAUGUGUUAUAUGAAUGUAAUAAGUAUUCAGAGGAACGUCAGCACUUAUAGUCAGUACUAGAUGGAGAGAAAAUUUAUCAUUUUCGAUGAUAAAUCUUUUAGGAAAUAAAUCAAAUUUUGUUAGAAUUCAAUUGAUUAGAUUUUUAAAAAACACUGGGUUAUUUAAUUGUAUUUAGAGUGUGUAUGUGUAUGGAUGUUAAUUUAAGCAUUCUAGCAUACCAUUGAGGUAUGUAUUAUUAAUUUCCCUCUGGGAUCAUUGAAGACCACACUCCAGUCUGGUAGGUGCCGGUAAAUGUACCUUGAGUUGGUUGCCAUCCGCCAAUAAAUAACAAAAGAAGAAGACGAGCAGAGGAGAAGAGAAAAAAGAAAAAGAAAAGAAGCUACCCUAGCGGUGCUCAGAAAGAAGAGAAAGAAGGAGCAAAGUAGAAAUCUGCUCUCAAAGUUACCAAAAGUUUCUGCCAAUGGCUUCUGCACUGCAGCAGCAGCAGCAAACUCAGCGGUGACGUUGGCAGCUGCUGGCGAGGAUUCGUUGCAUGGAGAUGAAAGGUGAGUGUUAAACCGUCAAAAGGGACGUCCCCCUAUAUUGAUAAGUAUUUAUUUAACUUAUUGAAGAUGGGUCAUUUUAAAGUAAGUUUCAAAUUUAGUUUGUAUUUGCUACAAACAAUUAGAAAUCCGUUAGUUAGGUGUUUUUUUUUUUUUCAUGUUGAAUUUCAGGAAAACUUCAGGCUUUUGGGUGUUCUUUCUAAAAUCCCCCUUAGGUUUUACAGGUAGUUUUGGCAGGUGUUUUAGUUCUUAAUAAUUUAAGUUAUACAUUCAAAAAACAUAAGGAAGUCAUUACCAACUUCUCACUCUGCUUUACAGCUUUGGUUUUGAAAUAUGUAAACAGCAUAUAAAUAGGUUUAGUAGUAGAGUAGAAAUUGCAGCAUGUUCCUCUGAGUUACAGUGACGUAGACAAAAUUGAAGUUGCAUGAAAUCCUCAAAUUUCUACUUUAGCAAUUGAGUAGAUAUACAUUUAACCACUGGGUAAAAGCCUUGUACUGUGUUGUCUGUGUUUGUUUUCAGAAUGAGACAGAGAUGGGCUGUGACAGAGAGAGUUCCACAAUUAUCCAGCCAGGCUUUGAUAAUGAUUUUGUUCCACCAGACUAAGAGAGUCCAGCAUCAUCCACUCUGCUGCAUAGGUGAUUCUGCGUGGUGGGAGGGGGGCCCCCAAAUCAAAUUCUGCUUAGGGCCCCCAAGAGGCUCGGGCCGGCACUGUCAAGCAGAGAGUUUCCUGCCGCUGACGUUUGCGCUGCCUGUCCCCCUUCAGUUCAAAUAAACUUUUUUUCGCUAUACUGUUUGUCUGGUUUGAACACUGGGUCCAUCUGUUUUGUUCCUAAUAAGAUGACCAUUUAGGCUAGCGACA